GCCGGGAGCUGCGGUGGGCUCUUGUAAACCAACUUCUAGGUGGCUUGGGAUGAGGAAGAUCUGCCUGUCGGGUAACCACUUGGCUGCCUGUCGUCGUUGACCUAGUGUCCGUGUCAAGCUUAGCGUCGAUAGACCAUCAAUGGGGGAACUAGUUGGUGAUCGGUCGUAGUCAGUUCACUGGCUUAUAAAGAGAGAUGGAUGGCUCAGGCCCGUGAGGGAGCAGGCAAAAGUCUCCGCGCUAUGACGGUGGCCGGAUGGCACACGCGAGGCGUUGGGUUUCAAGUGCCGACAUUAUAUGGUCUCACUCAUUCUUUU
Strongyloides venezuelensis is the source of this 315-nucleotide non-coding RNA. It matches the Rfam family "Metazoan signal recognition particle RNA". Rfam says of the family: The signal recognition particle (SRP) is a universally conserved ribonucleoprotein. The record is from Rfam. NCBI's taxonomy places the organism in Eukaryota, Metazoa, Nematoda, Chromadorea, Rhabditida, Strongyloididae.